AUGGAGUUAAGUUUGUCUCAUACGCUUCAUCUUUUUAAUAUCUUUCGUGAGUAUGACGGGAAGGAAAAUUGUGCUCAAGUGCUAGAAGAAGAAUGCAUUAAAAUGCUUGCUACUGAAUCUUUGAAUGAUGAGCAUGAUUGCCAUGUUGUUAGUAUGAACUCCUUGAAUAUUCAUGAUGCUAAUGAUAUGCAAAGCCACAAGCUUGGAGAAGCUAUGUUUAAUGAAUAUGAUAUAUUUUGUCCCCCAAGCUUUGAUGAGCAAAUUUAUUUUGAUGAUAGCAUGCCUCUUAUUUAUGAUGAUUAUAUUGACGAAAGUGGGUUUGGAAGAGUGUCAACUUUAGGAAGUAGUGAUCCCACUAUUUUGGAGGAUGUUGAAUCUUAUUGUGAUGAGCAUGAAGAGUCAACUUUAUUUAGUGAUGAUUCCACUAUUUCGGAAGAGGUUCCCAUUGAUUAUGAGAACAAAGUUGCUAUCUAUGAUGAUUAUUGUGAUGACUUUUAUGCUAUUAAGAAUAAUGAUAACCAUGAAACUUGUCAUCAUGAUUUUAGUUUUCAAUUGGAUUAUGCCUCACAUGAUAAUUAUUUUGGUGAGUUGCUCCCACUACUAUUCAUGAGAAGAAUUUUGCUUAUGUGGAGAGUAGUAAAUUUUCUAUGUUUGUAG
This 657-nucleotide ribosomal RNA is filed under the name Triticum aestivum (bread wheat). Its description in RNAcentral is "partial small subunit ribosomal RNA". Lineage: Eukaryota; Viridiplantae; Streptophyta; Magnoliopsida; Poales; Poaceae. The record is from RNAcentral.